Molecule: long non-coding RNA, 2860 nt
Organism: Rhinopithecus roxellana (golden snub-nosed monkey)
Lineage: Eukaryota; Metazoa; Chordata; Mammalia; Primates; Cercopithecidae
Exons: 3
Source: RefSeq, a predicted model, not a curated record
UGUUUUACUUCUUUGUUCUUUUCUCUCUCUCUCUCUCUCUCUCUCUCUCUCCCUCUUUUUGUUUUUGUUUUAGUUUUUAUUUCCCUGCGCUCCUUUCUGCACGCCGAAGUUUGAAACAUCUCCCUCAGUAACUGGCAAAGCAAGGAGAUCAUAAAAUUCAGUAAGAACAUAGAAGACUGAACAUCACAGGUGCUGAUGCUAAACUCUGAAGUUUAUACAGCAACAGAGGAGAGAAAAGGAGGAAGAUGCCCUCUUCUUAGUUUCCAUCUCUAUCAGGUCUCCGGUGACCUCAUGCACCUCAGUUUGGAGGGUCUUUGCAGACCCAUGUGGAGGGAAUGGGGAGAGUCAGAGACUGGAUUACAUCCCCUUUCAAGGAUUUCCCAGUGCGCACUCAUACAGUAGCACUUGGACCCAGAGUCUGGCCUCUGUGUUCUCUGGUUCCGUGUGACAAGUGCCACUGCAGCUCAGGGCAACCCCAUAUCAUGGACAUGGCACAGAAGAAAAGGAUGCUGUGCUGGCCACUGCCCCCGGGUGGUUUUCUGCCUUCCCCCCACAAGCUGCAGAAGAAAGUUGGUGGGACUUGAACUUGAAGCCUGCAACUCCAGUGUGACCAGCUCCAAUGGAUCAGUCACAUUAGCAACUCUUUGGGUCAGAGAGAUACACAGAGCCCCACUCUACCAGGGAAGUCAACAGGGGCUCAGCAACUGACCCAGGUCGGCUGUGGGUCCAGGCCUUUCUAUCAAUCCCAGUCCUUUUCCACUGCAGGAGACUGCCCCACUCUUAUUCUUAGAAGAGACCUUGCAAAGUAUUUAGGGUAAAAUGCCUAUCAUUGAAAUAUUUAUUUUAAAAAAUAUAUAGAAAAUAUAUAGAGAGAUAAAGAGAGAGAGAGAGAGUCCCUGUGCAACAGAGUGAGGCUACUUUGCGGGUGAUGAGGUGCUGCAGUUGCAGUCGAGAGGGUAAGGCCUGACCUAUGGUGCAAUAACAAGAAAGGUGAGAAAGGGGUUGAAUGCAGGGCAUGAAGGAGGAGGAGUGGGCACUGGCUUGAGUGAGUGGAAGAUGGUGAGGCCAUUUAUUUUGAAUGGAAACACAGGAAAAGAAGGAGGUGUGGCCAUUCUCUUUGUCUUGAGCCUUCGCCCUCUGUGAUGUGGGAUCCCCAGGCAGAGUUUAGGCGAAAGCUCUAGUUUUCCAACAACAAUUCCAGGGGUAUCAGACCAUCAGAGGGAAGAUGUUGGAUGGGUAGCCUAAAAGCAUAAAAAGCAAAGAUGGGACAAGGGGAUGGCCUGAAGACCAACAUUCAGAAAUAAGGCUGGCAAAAGGCCAACAGAGGUGACUGAGAUGGGAUGGUCCAGGAGGUUGGAGGGGAGUUGGGAGAAGGUGCCUUGGAAAGCAAGAAGCGAGGGCUGCCCAGUGAGUGUUGAAUGCAGUGGAGAAGUCAAGUAGCACAGGGUUGAAAUGUGUCCCCUGACCACUGAAGUGGUUCCCCGUGGGGAUUUCUUUUCUUGGUAAGAACAGGUUCACUGGGGUGGGGAGAUGGAAGUAAGACUUCAGUGAGCUAGAGAGCACGUGGAAGGAGAUUAGGGAUGAUGAGGAAGUCCACAACCCUCACAAGAAGCUGCCUGCGAAACAGGAGUGAAGGGAAUUUGCCAGAGACUAGAGGGGUUAAUGGGGGAGCAGGGGGUCCUGUCACACCUCUGCUGAAAAACACAUUAACCCCGGAGAUCCUGAACCUGCUAGUGGAACAGGACUCAGGAUGGCCCAGACCUCCUCAGAAAAAAAGGGGAAGAGCCAGAACAGGACGGUGUUGGAACCGGUGCGUGUGGGGAGGCACAGUCAGAUGGGGCUGCCUCAGGUCUCAGAUCUGAUCGACUGUCCUGGUGUCUGAGUGUCCCCCAGUGGGGUUACAGCUCCUCAGGUCUCUGAGUAUCCAGGCAUAUUUUCCUACAGCUCCCUGGUCAUUUCCAUGCUGUUGGUUUAACUUCGCCACUUAGAGGAAUAUAGAGUUUGGCAAGAAAGUCUCUUGGUUUCCUCUGUAAGAACUGCAGUGGUAGAUUGGAAAUCUGCCCUGUAUGUCCCACAAGACAGCAGAAAAGUAGCCGACAUUGUGGGGCUGUGGCGUAAAUCUGCAGAGCAGCCAUCCUGGGCCAAGUGUGCAGGGUACAGUGCACAGGUGCUGGCUUAGGGUGGAGUUCUGGGGCCCAGGGCAGUCCUCAGAGUCCAAACCCUCCUGGGGGCACUGCUACGUCUCUAAGCUGCAUGGACAUGGUCAGGAUGCAUGGGCACAUUCAACAAGGCAAAGAGAGCCCUGGGGUGAAGCUUUGACAACCUGAGAAAGUUCUUGGCGAGAAAGCCUAGGUUAAGGACUCUGUACCUCAGGAGAAUAUUCUGGAAUCCCAGCUGCUGGGAUCUAGGGUAAAGAAAUAGAGCUUGCAGCCAAUAGCUGCCAGGGAAGACCACAAGGUGGAAGGGGAAAGGACUGUCACCUGCACAGUCAGCCCGGGCAUCUGCUGUCCGGCUGAGUGCUGGGCCCCACUCCUCAGCCAUGGGGAUCCAGGCCCUCAAUGGGGCCUUCCCACCUUCCUCUCAGAAAUGCCUUGCAGGAGGCCAAGGAGCCAUUUUCAAAAAGGCAAGAAGUACCAGGUAGCCUGGAGCAACCUGCUGGGUUUCUGAGGGCAAGAAGCUCCUUCCGCUACCAUAGCAAAGCCAUUUGGUUUAAAAUCCUCGUAAAAGCAACAAUGCUCAUUUCCUAUAUUGGGCUGUAUUUCCUAAUUACCAUCCCAGAGGGAAACCUAGGGAGAAGGAAGGCAGAGAAGCCAGCCUCACAGCCUUCAUUUGUACAUUUAAAUAAAGUGUGAUUAAAAAG